RNAcentral lists this ribosomal RNA (570 nucleotides) under uncultured bacterium. Its description in RNAcentral is "bacterial SSU rRNA". It matches the Rfam family "Bacterial small subunit ribosomal RNA", at positions 65 to 628 of the family's 1533-position model. The record is from RNAcentral.
AGUGCGCAGUUUUCCGUAGCAAUACGGGAAAUCGGCGCACGGCGCACGGGUGAGUAACACGUGGGCAACCUGCCCUACAGAGGGGGAUACCCCCGCGAAAGCGGGACUAAUACCGCAUGAUAUUCCGGUGGCUUCGGUUGCUGGACUCAAAGUCCGCAAGGACGCUGUUGGAGGGGCCCGCGCCCGAUUAGCUUGUUGGUGAGGUAACGGCUCACCAAGGCUUUGAUCGGUAGCCGGUCUGAGAGGAUGGCCGGCCACACUGGAACUGAGACACGGUCCAGACUCCUACGGGAGGCAGCAGUGGGGAAUAUUGCGCAAUGGGCGAAAGCCUGACGCAGCGACGCCGCGUGGGGGAUGAAGCUUCUCGGAGUGUAAACCCCUUUCGACCCGGACGAAUGACCCGCAAGGGUUUGACGGUACGGGUAUAAGAAGCCCCGGCUAACUACGUGCCAGCAGCCGCGGUAAUACGUAGGGGGCCAGCGUUGCUCGGAAUUACUGGGCGUAAAGGGUUCGUAGGUGGUGCGGCAAGUUGGAAGUGAAAUCUCUGGGCUUAACCCAGAGGCUGCUUUC